UUAAGUGAAACUAGAUACAAGGCGAGCGGCGGACGGGUUGAGGUAACACGUGGGUAACCUUGCCCCAAGAGACUUGGGAGUAACACCUGGAAACAGAUGCUAAUACCGGAUAACAACACUAGACGCAUAGUCUAGAGUUUGAAAGAUAGGUUCUGCUAUCACUCUUGGAUGGACCUGCGGUGCAUUAGCUAGUUGGUAAGGUAAUGGCUUACCAAGGCAAUGAUGCAUAGCCGAGUUGAGAGACUGAUCGGCCACAUUGGGACUGAGACACGGCCCAAACUCCUACGGGAGGCAGCAGUAGGGAAUCUUCCACAAUGGACGAAAGUCUGAUGGAGCAACGCCGCGUGAGUGAAGAAGGGUUUCGGCUCGUAAAGCUCUGUUGGUAGUGAAGAAAGAUAGAGGUAGUAACUGGCCUUUAUUUGACGGUAAUUACUUAGAAAGUCACGGCUAACUACGUGCCAGCAGCCGCGGUAA
RNAcentral lists this ribosomal RNA (474 nucleotides) under uncultured bacterium. RNAcentral's name for it is "bacterial SSU rRNA". It matches the Rfam family "Bacterial small subunit ribosomal RNA", at positions 73 to 523 of the family's 1533-position model. The record is from RNAcentral.